Molecule: long non-coding RNA, 2693 nt
Filed under: Homo sapiens (human)
Lineage: Eukaryota; Metazoa; Chordata; Mammalia; Primates; Hominidae
Description: non-protein coding lnc-ZNF99-3:2
Source: RNAcentral
CUGGUCUCGAACUCCCGACCUCUGGUGAUCUGCCCGCCUCGGCCUCCCAAAGUGCUGGGAUUAAAGGCGUGAGCCACCGUGCCCAGCCUAAUUCUUCAAUUCUUAAUAAACAAUUUAUACUGAAGAGAAACCCUACAAACGUGAAGAAUGUUGCAAAGCUUUUAACGUCCUCAAACCUUACUGAACAUAAGAUAAUUCAUAAUGGAAACUAGCCCUACAAAUAUGAAGAAUGUGGCAAACACUGUAACCAUUUCUCACAUCUUACCACACAUUAAGAUAAUUCAUACUGAAGAGAAACCCGACAAAUGUGAAGAAUGUAACAAAGUCUUUAACUGGUCUUCAACUCAUACUAAAUAUAAGAGAAUUCAUACAGAAGAUAAAUUUUAUAAAUAUGAAGAAUGUGACAAAAGCUUUAAAAACAUUUCAACCCUUAUUACACAUAAGAUAAUUUAUGUUGUAGAGAAAUUCUACAAAUGUGAAGAAUGUGGCAAAGUUUUUUUUUUUUUUUUGAAAUGGAGUCUCACUCUGUCGCCCAAAUUGGAGUGCAAUGGUGCAAUCUCAGUUCAUUGCAACCUCCGCCUCCUGGGUUCAAGCGAUUCUCUGGCCUCAACCUCCCAAGCAGCUGGGAUUGCAGGCGCCUGCCACCACGCCCAGCUAAUUUUUGUAUUUUUAGUAGAGACGGGGUUUCACCAUUUUGACCAGGCUGGUUUUGAACUCCUGACCUCAAGUGAUCCACCCGCCUUGGCCUCCCAAAGUGCCCCAAAGUGCUGGGAUUACAAGCAUGAGCCAUUGAGCCCGGUCGAAUGUGGCAAAGUUUUUAAUAAGUUAUCAAAUCAUACUGGAGAGAAGCUCUACAAACCUAAAAGACAUGACAGUGCUCUUGAGAACACCUUAAACUUUUCUAAACAUAAAAGAAAUCAUAGUGUCAAGAAGCCCUAGAUGUGAGUCAUGUCACAAAGCCUUUAAAUGGUUGUCACACUUGAGUAUAAGCUAAUUUAUCCUAGAGAAAACUAUGAAGAAUGUGGCAAAAUAUUUAACCAAUACUCACACCUUAUCGCAUAGGAAAGCAUUUAUACUUGAAAAAAAAUGUACACCUAUGAAGAAUGUGGAAAAGCCAUUAAUAUCUGCUCACAUCUUAACAUCACAGAGUUUAUACUUAAAACAAAUAUUAAAAAUGCAAUUACUGUGAGAAUAUCUUUUAGAAAAUAUAAACCUUAGAAUGGUGAAGAGUAUUUCUUUUGAUGACAAACAUUACAAAUAUAAAGACGGUUGUAGUACUAUAUUUGUAUCACAGAUCUUAUUGUGCAUAUUUUGUGCUAGAGAAAAACCCUAAAGUUGCUCAAACUUUGUUCAAUAUCAGGGAAUGUAUAAUAGAGAAAAAAACCUGCAAAUGUAAUAAAUUUGGAAAAAAGUUUAUAAACUACAGCUUAGAAAACAGAGUAAGUUUUUUUUGUAGAUGCAGUAAAUAUGAAAAAUAUUCAAUCCAAAAUUAACUCUGUAAAUGUCAGAGAAUUCACAGUAGAAAUGAUAAGGCACUGGCACUUCAGACUACACUAAAUCAGAGUGUUGAGUAAAAAAAAUAAUUUCAAUCUAAAAUUUAGAUAAGUUAUUUGCAUAUAACUUAAAAAAGAGGAGGUGAUUUUUUGGAGAAUUAUAAUUACAUUUGAAGUAUACUUUUUGUAUACUUCAAAUAUCAAAAAAAUUAACAUCACAAUAUUGAAAAAAAUUACAGACUCUGAAAAGCAAAUAAGGAUGUAAUUCAACUCUCAAGUUACUUCAUGCUCUUCAUUCCUACUUUAUUUACAUGUGAAAGCAUGCGAUCAAUUGUUGCUGCAUCAGAGAUAUGAAAGAUUCUUUUUUAUUAGAUGGGCAUUAUUUAUGACCUUUUUCAUAAAAGAGAAAGGAUAUUAAAAUAUAAAAUGCAUGAUAAAAAUCUAAAUGGAGAGGCUUUUUGUGGUUAACUUAAAAUAUUGAGUGAUGUAUGAGGUAGGUGUUCUGAGGAAUAUAUUUUUGUGCAUUAUAGUGAGAAAAACAUUUUAAAAUUUUAGUUAAAAUUAAAAUUAAAUUAGUGAUGUAUUAUAUUAGUUGUGCUUUUAUGUAAUGUAGUACAUUCAUAAAUUUUUAGAUUAUAUGUAAACUUAAUUUUUUAAACAUUUUUUGACAUGUUAAGUCUGUUGUACAUUCAAUGAAGUGUUAUUAUGCCACUCGCUUUAACCUAUCCCACCUUACUCAAGGGUGUAGGUAAGAGAUGGCAACAGUUUACUAUUUGGUAAGAGUGGAAUAACAUCUCUAGUAAUCUCUUUUUUUCAGUGGCUUUAACCUGCAAAUAAAUUAAAGAAUAUUGUUCUCGUAGGUUACAUUUUUAUACUUUUAAUCUUAUUUAAACUUCUUUUUUUUUUUGCCUUGACAAAUUUAAACUUAUUUUUCUUAACUUUUAUGGGUACAUAGUGUGUAGAUAUAUUUCUGCCAUAUAUAGCAUAUUUUGAUACCAGCAUAAAAUAUGUAAUAAUCACGUCAGGGUAAAUGAGGGAUUCUUCACCUUCAACAUUUAUUCCUUGAAUUACAAGCAAUCCAAAUCUACACUUUUAGUCACUUUGAAAUAUAAAACUAAAUUGUUAUCUUUAUUAUAGCGUCAUUUUUGUGGUCAUAAUAAAAAUCAUAUAGGAAUGUAAAUAAAAUCUAUACAUAUCUGG